UAGUUGUGGGUCAUCUUGAGGGCAGGUUCUGGAAAAGUGAGUCUCUGCCAUUUGUUCACAUUGUUCAUAACGAUCUGAGAUCUUGCAUUCUUCUGCUCUCUCCUCCAGCUACUCCCCCCCACCCCCACCAAGAAAAGAUCCUUUCUGAUCAUCUAUCACUUUGACCAACUCUCCAUACACAUGCUGAUGCAGUAUCUCACAAGGACAAAGCUCUGAGGAUCAGGUGUAAGGUGUUUUCCCAAUCUGUUUUACAGACACACGCUCCCUUCUAGAUUCCAGGUGCAUGCUUUGGCUUGUGUUUUCAUUCGGUGUCCUUUAAAGAAGUGAGUAAUCGGGGGAUUGUAGAAAGAGCAACGACUUGGGAAGCAGAAAUGCCUGGAUUCAUGUUCAGGCACUACCAACCACAGGCUGUGUGACCUUAGGCCAGUUGUUUAACCUCUGAGCUUUCAAUUACAAAAUUUCAACUUCAGUUAGCAAAUUGAGAUGAUAAUGCUACUUCCUAAGAUUAUUGUGAGAAUUAAGGGAGAUACUGUUUGUGAAGAGCUUGGCAUAGAGAAAUUGCAUAAGGGUAGCUACUGUCAUAAGCACAUGUGGCAAAAUCUGCAUCCUCACUUCCUUUCACCCUGUCACAACUUCCUGUUCCCGCACUGUCGAUUUGGCUGUGAGACGCAAGGCCUUCAUGGCCCCAAGGAGACUUGUCGCAUUAAGUUCUUGUGUUUUGAUGUUUACCAGCUGAAGGCCAGGUGUGACAGACAGAGAAGGCUGAUCUGCCUCUUCCCUCUCCGUCCUCCCCGCCACCAGGUGAAACUCCUCCGAGCUGGGGAAGGGAGGAGACCUGGUGAGGAGAGAGCCGGGGUGAGUCCAUGCUGAGGGCCUCACAGAAGGAGCCCUGCUGUGCAGCCCCUUAGAUUUGGGGUUCUGCAACUUAGAACAGACUGGCACCCCAUUUCCUGCUUGGAUCCCUGAAGGAGAAGCUCCCGCCGCGCCCGCCCCAUCAUGGUAGCUGUAGAAUAAGGCAUAAGCGGUAGAAAGGGCUUAAGUAGGUGGGCUGGGGGCAGCCUCCCAGACACCCUGCUUGUCCCACCAGGGCUCAGGAAACAGCUCAAUAACCUUCCUCUGUGCUCUGAGAUGCAGCUGACUUUGAUGGGUGAAGGGCAGCAGAAGAAUAUGCCGCCCUGAAAAUACCUCUUUGGCAUAGGAUUCGUUUGAGAAACUACAGACACAGGAGAAGCUCUGAAAACAAAGGAGAAGUUACUCUUUUGCAAGAGAAAUGUGCAUUUACAAAGGAAAUUUCCACUUGUAGGGUUCUCUCCCUCUCCAUACCAGGAAGGGAAGGAAAACCCUUAAUCACAAGGGACCUAUCAACGGAGGAGGGACCUCAGCCAAGAACUCAGAAGGGUAGAGGGAAAAUUAUUUUUCCUCCCCAACAAGGGCCUCGUGACUGGGGAUGAGAGGACGCAGAGUGGUCGCAGAGUACACCGUGAGAGCAGAAACCCCACGGGAAUGCAGGUGUCCUGAUGGAUGCCAGAGAGGUGGGGAGGGGGGGAGGACAGUCAAACAGAAUGACGUUAAUCUCAGCAGGACCCACGGGGCACCUGUGACACUGGAAAACCAGAUACCUCCAACCUCCUCCUCCCUGCGUGUCAUGAUGCUUCACAAACUCCCAGGCAGGGAGUGAGCCCCAAGUUGGAUGGUUUAACUCUGAGUGGAUUGGGUUUGCCCUAAACCGAUGAGUUCUCCACUACCAAGCAGAACUGAGGUUCAAGUAACUUGACAUAUUAACAGAGUGAUAAAGACAGUUCGCGUAUCCAGUGACCCCACCCAUGUCACAGAUCUAAGCCUAAAUCAGCCUGAUUUUACCAGAAACUCCUGCCAAGGAAGCCUGACAUACACCACUCACAAUCCUCCAACUCAGCUUUAGCUAGUUUACUUUACCCUAGAAAACAGGACCUGCUAGUUUUGUAAGGAAAUCCCCACCCUCCUACCCAGUCGUGCUGUUUCCACGUGGCCUCUUCUCUCUGUAAACCUCCUUCUUGCCCAAAAUCCCUCCGGAAGUGGGUUCCACUGCUUGUGAGACGCUGUGCUCCCCAAAUCCUUGAAUAAGGGACUUCAAACUCAUUACUAACUCGUUUUCGUUUUGUCAUUAAAUGAGAAAGUUGUGAGGGGAAACAGAAUAUGCCACCCCAAAGUAGCCACUUGGACAUGUGGAUGUUUUGGCCUGAAGGCAAUGAAGACCCAGCAGUCUCUGGAAAAGCUUUUUGCCUCUCCCUUAACUGCCUAAAGGAAUUUAGAUAAAGGAAUUUAGAUAAAGGGCUUGUUGCCCUUUAUCUAAGGGCAAAAGAGCUAUUACUAGAGAGAACUUUUAUAUCAGAAAGACUUAUCUGCAAGGCAAGGCAAACAUUUGUUUACCAGACAUUUUUUUCUUCUCCUCUCCCUGUGAUUUGUCUUCCUGCCCUUUGAAGCCCAGACCCCUACCCCCUUCUUCUUGGCUCAAGAAGGAUGGUAUGUAAGCCUCACUUAGAAUAGAAGCGGCACAAAGUUGAGAGCUCUAAGUACAGAUAAGUCAAGAAAGUAGUUUCCCUAGUUCUACUGGCAUUUCCAACAACAGCAAACUGAUGGAUACGUAGAAUAACCUGCCAUGGUUCUCUAGAGCUUUAAUCUGUCAAGACAACUUUUCCAUCGUUAUCUUUUUAAAAAUUCUCAUGUCACUACUACUGGAAGGAAGAUAUUAUUGCCCCCAUUUUAGAGAAAGAGAAACUGGAGUUCAGACUGGGGAAGAGGCAGCUAGCGAGCGGAUUCCAGAGCUGGUACUACCCAAACUACACGAAACCAACCCAGUGGAGGAAGUGGGCACGUGGGAGGUGAAGCAGGGCGGGGGGGAAUUCUGAGCUGAAAUGAACUGUGACUGUAUUUAGUGAAAAACAUUUCUUAGUCAUAGUUUACCUGUAAGCUUCACAUGCUGAAAAAAAUGGGUUGCCCAACAAACAUAAGACCUUCAAAGACAGUGCAGGUGUCAACUAGGAAUUUCCCAGAAUUUACUUGAUGUGAUUCAAAAUUAUGCUCCCGUCCAACAAAGCAAGUUGAUAUCAGUGCAGUGGUUUGAAGCGACUUUUACAUCAGGGCUUGAACACAGAGCAGAUGCCCUUAAGGCUCAUAGAUAAACUUUCCCAAUAAGCUUCCAUCGGUGACUUGAUGGCUUUCAAGAAGAAAACUGGAAAGAGAAUCCCUAACACUUUUAGUGGUUAACUUUAAGGAUGUGAAUGUAUUAUAGUGGCUCUGAGUCUAGCCUAUCUUUUUUAUGUUUUCCUUGGGUAAACCAAACCACUGUUUUGGUUCAACUAUUUCAACAUAUUAAUUCUGCUCUAUGCUUGAGGGCAUGUGAGGAGAUGAGAGAACCCAGGGGGUAAAUCAGGUUCUAAUUUUGUCCCAUUUUGUACUUACAUGAGAAAUUCAAAUGAAAUAUAAAGGAUAUUUGAUUGCUUUGAAUAUCAGAGAGAUAUACCCAAAAAGUUCAUACUAAAUUUCUCACAGUAAAGGUUUUUUGAAAAAAAUUUGUUUAGAAGGUACCAAGGGUACCUUCAACAGGGAUUAACUGAAACGAAAAUAGGCAAAUGGAAUCUGUCCUUAAUGGACAGACUUUUAAUAUUUAGAUCACUUAAUUUUGUAUCAGCCUGGGUUGGGUCAAGGGUGUGAUGAUAAAUCAGACCAGAGCUGAUACACACAAGACAAAUCUGAUUUGUUCGCAGUGCAAGGUCCCAAGCUCACAGCUGGGGACAGAGAGCCACGAGGAGGGCGAGCAGGAGAUGGGGAGAGCAGGGUGAGGCGUGGGUGCAGAACAAGAUUUUGGUACCCAGACUGCCCCCAUCACUUACCCCCGCAGGAGUUCAACCCGUUCUCACAGAUUUACAAAUAAUUGAAACUCUCAACAGACACCACUUGCACAUUUUAUUGCUCAGUCUCUUACGUCAGAAUUUGCAUCAGCAACAGUAGCUCUGGAAGCAAAUGUUCAAAACAGAGACCCAGCAGCAUUGGCUGGAAACAGGCAACUACGAUUUCUACCUGGUGCUUUUGUCUAUUUUAUGUUCCAGUUACAAACUGGAAACAAAAAUAUAUAUAUUUUAAAGUUUUGAGCAGAAUUAUUGGUUAUGUUUUCUAAGCUUUAAAAAUGAGCAGGGACCUUGGAAAAUGUGAGAUUAUGUCCCUCCUUAUUUUGGGAGUGAGGAGGAAAUGAAGGAGGUGGGAGUUAAAAUGCCCUUUCUUUUAUGAAUGGUGAUAACAGGUGGUAGUUUUAAACAGUGUUAAUUGGCAGAAACAGAAGGUGGAUUUUUAAAAGUCCCCUAAAAGCAAAGGUUUAUAAACAAAACUACAUUUUAUCACAUUAUCUUAUACUAUACUCCUGCACAUGGAAGCUCAUUUCAGCAAAUCAGUGCCCAUAGGGAGGAGGACACAUCCAGCAUUCUCACCCCUUAGUUCCAUGACCUCAGUUCCAAAAUGGUCUUUCAUACUACUUCACUCUUCAACUUAAUCAGUCACAUCUUUUUCAUGAUUGAAUUUGCCCCACCUCCCAUCCAUUCUCUGACUACAAUCUGCAAUCCUUUUAGUCUUAUUGUUCCACUGCUUGUACGAUGAGGGUUCUUCAAAUUCAUCAGGACCAUCAGGCCACAGACCACUCUUCUUAUUCCCUAAAAUUACCCCCUUCUGUGUUCAGUGCCCCGUCUCUCCAGCUUAGCUCCAUGGUCCAUCAGUUGAGUAGUAACUCAUUUUGCAGUCUCCUGAAGUCCGUGGCUCCUCUUUUUUUUUAAUAAAUGUGGGAAAAUACCCAAAGUUGGAUGAAGCCAACACAUACCAAGCAGCUGAAUUAUCCUAGAUAAAACCCCACAACAGGGCAGGCUGGUACCACUGUGAUUCACCAUCGCUGGUUUCAACUGGGUCCUAAACGCUGCCCAGCGAUCUCACUAAACUUCUCCCGUCAACUCACUCUCCAGCUCUUGACAAUGGUUUCAAAGCUUCCUUAUUCUUCUAACCCUUUGAACAGUUAACUUUGAGCACAUUGUCUUCUACUUCUUAAAAAAUAGAGUUAUAACCUCCUGCUACAAAACUUACAGGCCUAGCUUUAUUCACAUCCAGCUUCUCAUAUUUCCUCCCGUUAAAAACAAACAAACAAAAAAACCUCACCUCCUCUCUGCAUCCCCACAAUUAGCUCAGAUUUAACCCUCUCUCAUUGCUUAGGAGCCCUACGCUGUCAGUUACUUUUCCCUCCAGUAUUUUCAGUCUUUUUCCGGACUGGAUUCUUGCCAUCAGCAUUUAAACAUGCUCAAAUCUGUCACACAACACAACAUUUCAACUCAUUUCCCCCUCUAGCUACUUCUUCCCGCCAACCCCACCCUUCCUUCGAAGGCAAUUUCUCAAGUUUUCUGUACUUUUAAUUUCCGUUUCCUCACUUGGCACUCAUAUAGCAGUCCUCUCUAAGCUGGCUUCUGCCUCAAUAUUUGCACAGAAUCCCCUUUGUCAAGAUCACCUAUAACCUCCUGUCACAAAUCCAAUGCAUAUUUCAAACGUUCAUUUUCUCUGAAUUUUCAGUAGUUUGCCCCGGCAGGCCACUUCCUCGGGAAGCAGUUUCUUCCCUUGGCUUUCUCACCCUAUACUCUCCUGUUUCCCCACCUUCAGCCCUGGCCAUCCUUUUCGGUCUCCUUUCCUGGGUCUCUAGAUGUUGGAGCCUCUUCCCGCUGCACUAGUACUCUGGCCCUAGGUGGGAUCUGUAGGUAUAGCAUCCUCAAGGCCCCACUCUGCAGCAUCUCCCUGUUAGCCUCACCUGCUCUCCUUCUGCUGACUCCCCUCCACCCACAGUGGCCUCCUCAAUGCUCCUUAAACCUGCCAGGCAGAAAUGAGUCUUUGGAAAUAUUUCAGUAAAAUCAGUGAAUUAGCUUUCAAUACAUUGGCCAAACAUGCUUCCCUCUUGGGAAACUGUAUAUGAGGCUGUUAGGUCCCUGAGCUGACAUUUAAGUCACCUAAAACCAAAGCAUAAGGUGUAGAUCAGACAUUGGCCUCUUAGCUCAAACAUGCUACUUAAUAGCUUUUGCACCAACUUUAAAUCUGGAAAAACAUUUUCUUGAAAGGGAGAUGCUUGCUUUUUCUGAACAUCCCUAAGCAUUUCAGUUCCUCAGUUCUUUCAAUUAUCAACGUAGCAGACGGUAGAGAUUCUGUGCACAAAAAUUCUUUGAUGGAUAUUUCUUGGUCUGCCUCAUCAUGUGAUAAUUUAUUACAAUCAUAUUGCAAAGGAUAAGGAUGGAACAACUAGAGAGUGAAUUAAGAAACGAAUGUGAAUAGUCUAGUUUGCUCCUUGAGCUAUAAAAAACUGAUGCUGAGUAUUACUUUAGGCUCAAGUUCUAAUAUCAAGCGUGUUACGAUUUCUCAGCUAAUACCUACAGAGGUUGAAGCAAAGAAGAAAAUAAACAAGCUAAACAAAAUCCUGCAACAUGGCUAUGGACAGCCAUGGCAUCCCUCCCAGCCCUACCCCCGUAUGGAACCACAGUUCUCAUUCCUGAAAGUUUUGUGCCAUCCCCAUCCCCCCUUGAUUUGAUUCCAUUUUUGAAGCCAGGUAAUAAUACAUUGACACGGUUCCAAAAAGUCAAAACGAUAUAGAAAAGUCAACACAAAAGAAAUUUCACUUCCAUCCCUGUUCCCAUCCACCAUUUACAUUUGUAUUAGUGCCCUUUAUCCUCCUGGUGUUGCUUUACGCAUAUUCUUAUGCUCUCCCCGCCCCCUAGACCUUUUUUACACAAAUUACAGCAUACUGUCUAUGGCGUUCUGUGUUUCGUCCUUUCCCACCUGAUCAUACAUGCUGGAGACCUUUAUCAGUUCAAGAGGGUCCUCCUCGUUCUAUUUUACAGCAAGUCGUGUUCCACUGUGUGGAUGCAACAGUGUAUCUAACCUAUCGUUUUUACAGCUGGGUUGCUGUAAAAGAAUGCUAAGGUGAAUCAUUGCGUAUAUACUUUUGUACAUGUACGGGUGUAUGGGCAGUUUGAGCUCCAAGACCUGAGAUUGCUGCUUCAAGAGUAAAUAAUUGGAUAGGUAUUGCCGGAUUCUCCUCCACACGCGGUUGUGCGGUCCCACCAACGGGGGAUACAUUUCCCCACAGCUCAGCCAACAGAAUGUUGUCAAAUGAGGUCUUUUGUCCGUCUGCUAGAUGACAGAUGAUACCUUAGUUUAAUCUGAAUUUCUCUUGUGAUGAUUAAGAUUUUCAUCUGAGGUAUAAGGGACAUUUGGUGUUUUUCUAUGAACUGUCUGUUCAUGGCCCUUAGUCCAUUUUUCUAUUGGGUUCUUGGCCUUGGUAUUUUUCUUUUUAAUAUUGAAGACUUCUUUAUUUAGCAGAGAUUAGAAUGGGCUCUACUAUCAACGUACUACAGAACUAUAGCUUUAAAAGAGUCUUAAGGGAGUUAUUCAUGUCACCCUCUACUCCUUGGAAACAGGAAUCCCCUAGUCCCAAUUAGAGAAUUUUAUUAGUUUUCUGACUUAAAAGUAAUGUACAUUCACUAUAGAAAUACUGGAAGAAAUGUAAACCACUCAUGUUUGCACUUUCUCAUAUUUCUCUUCUAGGUACAUAAAACACAAAGGGGACUUCUUCCCCUGUCACAGCUCCUCUCCCAGAGCUGACCAUCUGGGGACAUCACAGGUUUUUUUUCAACCCUCCCCCGCCCCCAGUUCUUCCCCCCACCCUCUAUUCACCCUACUAAAAAUUUAUGGGUUGAAGUGAUUCAUUUCAGCAAUAUCCUUUAUACUCUGCUACUCCCCAUUCCUCCAAGCAAGGAAACAAACAAAAAUAUGGUCAUAUUUAGGGGCUGUGAUCUCUGCAAACUUCGUAUCCUUCCUGGCAUCAUGGUAACUUUAGAAAUGGUCUUCUGAGAGGGACCUGGGAGAAAAGGAAGGCUGCUUAUCCUAUUCGGUAAUUUGCCACCAUCUCAAAGUAUUUGAUUAAAGGGUCCUGUUGCAUCUUCUCUGGCCCUUCCAAAUCAAGCACUUGGUUAAAAAUAUUUUAAUUUCAGCGAGUAGCACAUCAGAAACAACAACAAACACUUGAAUGUGAUGGUAAUUUUAAGUUAAAAUUUAUAUUUGGAAAUAAAAAUUCAUAAUAACAAAUUUUUUAUAAAAUUGUCACAUAGGGGUUUCCCUGGUGGCGCAGUGGUUGAGAGUCCGCCUGCUGAUGCAGGGGACGCAGGUUCGUGCCCCGGUCCGGGAGGAUCCCACAUGCCGUGGAGCGGCUGGGCCCGUGAGCCAUGGCCGCUGAGCCUGCGUGUCCGGAGCCUGUGCUCCACAACGGGAGAGGCCACAACACUGAGAGGCCCGCGUACCGCCAAAAAAAAAAAAAAAAAAAAAAAAAAAUUGUCACACAGGAACACACUUUAAGAUACUUCAUUGACUUCGAAAAAAUUACAGACAUAGCCAAAACAAAUAGCUUUCAUUUAUAAAUGUGAGUUCCUUUCUUUCAGCAAAAGAAGGCUCACAGGAAAUGUCAGACGGAAAAGCAGCGGGAUACAGCGAUGCAGGGACGGCUCAACAUCUCUUGAGCUAGGAGGCUCCUAGCCUGCUGUCCCCAGCUCGGGCCAUGCUGCUUCUCCUCUCUGGCCUACAGUUUCCCUGGGCACCAAAGGAGGGAAGACUGAAUGACUGCUAACGUCCUGCAUGCCAUGGUCCUUUCAUUUCAGAGAACCGUAUAUGAUCACAACAGUAUCAUUCUCCUUUGAUUAUAAAUGUCAACAAAAUACAACUUAACAUGCUCAAAAAUUUUACUACAAAGAGUGCUAAUGAUUUUUCCCAUCCUUGGCAAAGGAUGGUUGAGGGCCCAUAUUAUUGGGCCACACUCACCGCUUAUAUUGGAAAAUGAGGAAAUGCUAAUGAAAUUGCUUUUAUGGGCUGACAUUCAUGGAUGGCAGAAAGGGACAUUCCAGAAGGAGUCCAGGAUUUGCUCUUCAGGAGUACUUCAGCUCCCAAAGCUUGGUGGCCAAGUGCACACGUGGCCACACCCAUGUCUGCGUGCCGUCUGUCAAGGUCACUGAGCACUUGUUAUCGUUGAAGGGGAGAGACCUCAGGAUUUUCCCCUAACAACACUCCGAGCGUCUUGUAAAUCAUAUUCAUAUUCAUACACUUAAGCAUUAAUUUACAUACUUAAUUUCUGACAGGCUGACAACUGCAGCCCUUCUCCCCCUCGGUGUAAAGUGAGAAGUGAAUUGUUAUUCAGUGUAUCCAGUACAGUGGUAAUGGUGCUAGCUGUAUUUUAUAUAAUGUGCUAUCUGCAGAAAGGCAGAUAAGAAUUUAACAUCCAAUUAAAAGCUGUCAUUGAAAAAAUUGAAAAAAAAAA
This is a long non-coding RNA of Orcinus orca (killer whale), 9355 nucleotides long. RefSeq lists it as uncharacterized. The transcript has 2 exons. The record is from RefSeq and is a predicted model, not a curated record. NCBI's taxonomy places the organism in Eukaryota, Metazoa, Chordata, Mammalia, Artiodactyla, Delphinidae.